GUGGAGACAAGUCCACAGAAUCAACAGUGCAAGGCCGGACCUAUGUACUCAUUGUUCUCAGAAAUAAGAAGUGUUGUCUGGAAAUUAAAACGGGUGUCUGAGGUUAUACUUUUUUCUUGCAUCUUGAUUCUUACAGUUAAGAACAAACAUGAUGUUGUUGCCUGUGUUUUCCUUAGAACCACAGAAUGGCUUGGGUUGGAAGGGACCUCAGUGAUCAUCCAGUUCCACCCCGUGCCGUGGGCAGGUUUGACAGCUUAUUUGGGCACCUUUAUGGGCACAGAGCUGUGGAUGCCUCUGCCCUUCACGAUGACUUUCCUCAAGUACUUGAAUUGAUCUUUUUCCCAGAUGAAGACAUACACUGUUCUGAACCACAUUUGAGGGUGUUCCCAACUAAGCUUGGUUAGAAUUUAAACUAAUAGGUGGGUGUUCCAUGAGAAGACAGACGACAAUUGGAACUGUAUCAGGCGCAUGUAGCAAACAAGGAUGAAGCUAUAAGGACUCAUUGCCAAGAAAUGUUCCUGGAUACACACCUUCACCUCCUCUCGCAGAGAACUAUUGAUGGGCUUGCGUGGCUGACAUAGUUAUGAAGAAACUUUUUGUACAAGGUAUGAGUGUAUGUGCAUGUGCACUGUUGCAUUUAGUGCUAAAAUAAUUGCCUGAGGUGCAAAACAGGCAAAAUCAGAAAUGCAAGGAAUGGAAUAAAUGAGACUGCCAAGUCAGGUCUGUACCCUUUUUACCCUUCUAGAUAGUCAGGAUUCUCCUUCUGUGAGAAACCCACUUGCCUGCUCCCUGGGCUGUUAGCAGGAAGGAUUGAUUUGAGGCCUUUACCUGUGCAGUUCCAGCUGGGACAUUCAGAUGGUGCAGGCAGUACAUGAAUGGUUGUUGAAAAUAAUAAUAUUCCAUCACUAAUGGUACCACGUAAUAGUAGGAAGAAAGAAGGCUUAUGAUUUAUAUUAUGUGUCAUGCCAGUGUAAAGGAGAAAGAUCUACUGAAGCAUCCACUUGUUUCUCCUGGGAACAUUGCUGUCAGCUCAAGAUUGUGCCCCAAGGUGUGUUUUGACCAAGGGAAAAUAAAAUAGUCACACAGACAGGUGGGUAACUCCAAUCCCAAUAAUGACAGCGGCAUGGCCA
Molecule: long non-coding RNA, 1130 nt
Organism: Numida meleagris (helmeted guineafowl)
Lineage: Eukaryota; Metazoa; Chordata; Aves; Galliformes; Numididae
Exons: 5
Source: RefSeq, a predicted model, not a curated record